Molecule: ribosomal RNA, 465 nt
Filed under: uncultured bacterium
Lineage: Bacteria
Description: partial 16S ribosomal RNA
Rfam family: Bacterial small subunit ribosomal RNA
Source: RNAcentral
CUACGGGGGGCACCAGUGAGGAAUAUUGCGCAAUGGGGGAAACCCUGACGCAGCGACGCCGCGUGGAUGAUGAAGGCCUUAGGGUCGUAAAAUCCUGUCAGGUGGGAAGAAGUGGAUAUAGAUUAAUACUCUAUUUCUUUGACGGUACCACCAAAGGAAGCACCGGCUAACUCCGUGCCAGCAGCCGCGGUAAUACGGAGGGUGCGAACGUUGUUCGGAAUUACUGGGCGUAAAGCGCGCGUAGGCGGUUUGUUCAGUCGGAUUGGAAAGGCCAUGGCUCAACUAUGGAAGUGCUUUUGAAGCUGGCAGACUUGAGUACUGGAGGGGGUGAUGGGAUUCCCGGUGUAGAGGUGAAAUUCGUAGAUAUCGGGAGGAACACCGGUGGCGAAGGCGAUCACCUGGCCAGAUGCUGACGCUGAGGUGCGAAAGCGUGGGGAGCAAACAGGAUUAGAUACCCGCGUAGUC